AGUGAACGCUGGCGGUAGGCCUAACACAUGCCAGUCGAACGGCAGCACAGUAAGAGCUUGCUCUUACGGGUGGCGAGUGGCGGACGGGUGAGGAAUACAUCGGAAUCUACUUUUUCGUGGGGGAUAACGUAGGGAAACUUACGCUAAUACCGCAUACGACCUACGGGUGAAAGCAGGGGAUCUUCGGACCUUGCGCGAUUGAAUGAGCCGAUGUCGGAUUUGCUAGUUGGCGGGGUAAAGGCCCACCAAGGCGACGAUCCGUAGCUGGUCUGAGAGGAUGAUCAGCCACACUGGAACUGAGACACGGUCCAGACUCCUACGGGAGGCAGCAGUGGGGAAUAUUGGACAAUGGGCGCAAGCCUGAUCCAGCCAUACCGCGUGGGUGAAGAAGGCCUUCGGGUUGUAAAGCCCUUUUGUUGGGAAAGAAAAGCAGCAGGUUAAUACCCCGCUGUUCUGACGGUACCCAAAGAAUAAGCACCGGCUAACUUCGUG
RNAcentral lists this ribosomal RNA (492 nucleotides) under uncultured bacterium. RNAcentral's name for it is "partial 16S ribosomal RNA". It matches the Rfam family "Bacterial small subunit ribosomal RNA", at positions 29 to 507 of the family's 1533-position model. The record is from RNAcentral.